This is a ribosomal RNA of 478 nucleotides. It matches the Rfam family "Eukaryotic large subunit ribosomal RNA", at positions 1 to 839 of the family's 3401-position model. The record is from Rfam.
UAAUAUUUAAUAAUAUUGAUUACCCUUUUGAACUUAAGCAUAUCAUUAAAAGGAGGAAAAGAAACUAACUAGGAUUUCUUUAGUAGCGGCGAGUGAACAAGAAAUAACCCUUGAUUGUAAUCCUUAAUUGGAGAUGUAAAUCAAUUUCAUUUUUAUUUAAUUAUAUCAUAGAGAAUAUUUAUUAUUCGUUAUUAAUAAAAAUAAUAAAUAAAAUAUAUUGAGUAGGGCUGCUUGGUAAUGCAGUUUGAAUAAAGGUAGAAUGAGAUAUCUAAGGUUAAAUAUAAUGGUAUACCGAUAGCAAAUAAGUACUGCGAAGGAAUUUGUGAAAAUGUGUGUGGUUAUAGCCUUAUUUUUAAGGACCCGUCUUGAAACACGGACCAAGGAGAUUAUAAUUAUAGCGAGAUAAUAUUUUUAUUUUAGUCGUUAUUAAUUUGAUAAGUUAUAAUUAUAAGACCCGAAACACAGUGAACUAUACAUG